GGAGGGUACAGCUCAGUGGAAGAGCACAUGCUUAGCGUGUACAAGGUCCUGGGUUCAAUCCCCAGCACCUCCA
Molecule: non-coding RNA, 73 nt
Organism: Camelus ferus (Wild Bactrian camel)
Lineage: Eukaryota; Metazoa; Chordata; Mammalia; Artiodactyla; Camelidae
Source: Rfam